UAGGGAAUCUUCCGCAAUGGGCGAAAGCCUGACGGAGCAACGCCGCGUGAGUGAUGAAGGUCUUCGGAUCGUAAAACUCUGUUAUUAGGGAAGAACAAAUGUGUAAGUAACUAUGCACGUCUUGACGGUACCUAAUCAGAAAGCCACGGCUAACUACGUGCCAGCAGCCGCGGUAAUACGUAGGUGGCAAGCGUUAUCCGGAAUUUUUGGGCGUAAAGCGCGCGUAGGCGGUUUUUUAAGUCUGAUGUGAAAGCCCGCGGCUCAAGCGUGGAGGGUCAUUGGAAACUGGAAAACUUGAGUGCAGAGGAGGAAAGUGGAAUUCCAUGUGUAGCGGUGAAAUGCGCAGAGAUAUGGAGGAACACCAGUGGCGAAGGCGACUUUCUGGUCUGUAACUGACGCUGAUGUGCGAAAGCGUGGGGAUCAAACAGG
Molecule: ribosomal RNA, 429 nt
Filed under: Actinomycetes bacterium
Lineage: Bacteria; Bacillati; Actinomycetota; Actinomycetes
Description: Actinobacteria bacterium partial 16S ribosomal RNA
Rfam family: Bacterial small subunit ribosomal RNA
Source: RNAcentral